CCCCUCUUGGAGUCACACCUGGAGAGUUUCCAGUCCUCUACCAGUCUCGGCUAUGGGAGGGAAAGUCAAGGGGAGGCCUAUCCAUUCCAUUCCUAGCUUGGGCAGUGGCUAGUGAGUGGAAGGCAAUCGGCUACAUGU
This is a small nucleolar RNA of Tachyglossus aculeatus (Australian echidna), 138 nucleotides long. The record is from RefSeq and is a predicted model, not a curated record. Lineage: Eukaryota; Metazoa; Chordata; Mammalia; Monotremata; Tachyglossidae.